AUACGGAGGGUGCGAGCGUCAAUCGGAAUUACUGGGCGUAAAGCGUACGUAGGCGGUUGGUUAAGUUAGAUGUGAAAGCCCCGGGCUUAACCUGGGAACUGCAUUUAAAACUGGCGAACUAGAGUUGAGUAGAGGGGAGUGGAAUUUCAGGUGUAGCGGUGAAAUGCGUAGAGAUCUGAAGGAACACCAGUGGCGAAGGCGGCUCCCUGGACUCAAACUGACGCUGAGGUACGAAAGCGUGGGUAGCAAACGGGAUUAGAAACCCUAGUAGUCC
Molecule: ribosomal RNA, 274 nt
Filed under: uncultured bacterium
Lineage: Bacteria
Description: partial 16S ribosomal RNA
Rfam family: Bacterial small subunit ribosomal RNA
Source: RNAcentral